GGAAAAUCCGCUUUCUUUAUAUUAUUUAUGGGUGCUGGAGUGAUGGAGAAAGCACAUGUGCAGGUCAGAGGGUAACCUUGGGAGUAGCAGCCAAGGACCAAACGCAGGUGUUUAGCUGCUGUGCCCUUCAGCUCCAGAAAUCAACUUUGACAAAGGAAAGACAGCAAGAGCAAGUAAGGUGUUUACCAACAGGCCUUGACUUGUUCCCAGAACACACAUGGUGGAAGGAGGGAACUGAAUCCCAUAAGUUGUCCUCUGACCUCCACAUGUGCCAUGGAGUCAGGGCCUUUCAAGAUCCAUCAAGUCCAAAGAGAAAAUGUAAAGAUUUCAGCAUUGCCUAUUUAAAUUCAACAGAUUAUUAAGUCACCCAGAUUUGAUCAAGAUUAAAGAAAAGUGUGUCUUCUUAAAUGGCAUUAUACUGCACAGUGAAUAUUAUCAUAUUCAAAGGGCUUUUUGUUUAGACAUUCAUGCUGGGUUUGACAUUGUGAUCCUUCUAUGUCACCGUCCCACAUGCUGGUGUCUGUGUGCCACAGGAUGUGUCACAGUGUUUGGCUUAGGGCUCUUAGCACCUAAUGACAGUGACAGGCUGUUGGUAUGGCACAGAACCAAUUGAGGAAGUAGUUCCCCUAGGAGACCGCAGUGAGGAGCAGAUACUCAGAUGAAGUUAAGUCAUGGGGACCUCUUGGUGUUUGAUGAGCACAGGCCUCAGUGAAUUCUUCCUUUCUGUAGUUCCUUCACCACAAGAUCUCUGACUCUUUUGCUCUGCAUUGUU
RNAcentral lists this long non-coding RNA (772 nucleotides) under Rattus norvegicus (Norway rat). RNAcentral's name for it is "long non-coding RNA NONRATT017354". The record is from RNAcentral. Lineage: Eukaryota; Metazoa; Chordata; Mammalia; Rodentia; Muridae.